RNAcentral lists this ribosomal RNA (363 nucleotides) under uncultured bacterium. RNAcentral describes it as "bacterial SSU rRNA". It matches the Rfam family "Bacterial small subunit ribosomal RNA", at positions 8 to 395 of the family's 1533-position model. The record is from RNAcentral.
AGAGUUUGAUCAUGGCUCAGAACGUACGCUGGCGGCACCCCUAACACAUGCAAGUCGAACGAAGUAGCAAUACUUAGUGGCAGACGGGUGAGUAACAUGUAGGGUAUCUGCCCUUUGGCCUGGAAUAACACGAGGAAACUUGUGCUAAUACCGGAUAAGUCUUUACGGAGAAAGCUUUAUGCCACCAUUGGAUGAGCCUGCACUUGAUUAGUUUGUUGGUGGGGUAAUGGCCUACCAAGACUGUGAUCAAUAGCUGAUUNGAGAGGAUGAUCAGCCACAUUGGGACUGAGACANGGCCCAAACUCCUACGGGAGGCAGCAGUGGGGAAUCUUNCACAAUGGAGGAAACUCUGAUGCAGGCGAU